UACGUAGGUGGCAAGCGUUGUCCGGAUUUAUUGGGCGUAAAGGGAGCGCAGGCGGUGAUUUAAGUCUGAUGUGAAAGCCCACGGCUCAACCGUGGAAUGGCAUUGGAAACUGGGUCACUUGAGUGCAGAAGAGGAAAGCGGAAUUCCAUGUGUAGCGGUGGAAUGCGUAGAUAUAUGGAAGAACACCAGUGGCGAAGGCGACAUUCUGGUCUGUUACUGUCACUGAGGCUCGAAAGCGUGGGGAGCAAACAGG
Molecule: ribosomal RNA, 253 nt
Filed under: uncultured bacterium
Lineage: Bacteria
Description: partial 16S ribosomal RNA
Rfam family: Bacterial small subunit ribosomal RNA
Source: RNAcentral